GUCAUAAAAAUUUAAUUUCAAUCAACAAAUUACGAUUGAGAAUACGACAAGAACAUUACUGGGUCUUGAAGAAGUGGCUUUGUAUCAUCUUUCGCAACAACAUAAGUGGACACACAAAACCUUGCUAGAUUGUGUCUUACUGUGAAAGAUUAUUAAGGGAGAAAAACCGCGAAGAAGCUUAAAACAACAAAAGUGGAAGCGGCAAACUCAAAGGGAUGAAGGGGUACUUUCCAUGGUCAGAAGUGAUUACCUAUUGGAUGCUAAGAUGAUGUCCUGUGACACGAUGGAGAUGAAUGAGUUGCCAAAGCCUGUCCUUUGGUCAUUUUGCUUUCCAACAGUGGUCAUCUUCCAGUGUUUAACAUAUGGUGGUUCAUCGAUUCAUGUUCAUUAAUGAUGAAAUUUCACUUGGGAUAUCGUGAUUUAAAAGUUUUUAAAGGGUUAUGGAAUUAGUAUGAAUUUGUUCACUAGACUAGAAUGAUACGAAUUUGAUUCAAAGUUCAAACGUUCAAUCCCGACAACAAUGUCGGAAGUUAAGAAGUGUUUAGAUCUGAAAUUUGAAAUAUAACCGUAAUGGAAUGGAUUUGAAGCCAUUACAAGGUUAUGGGAUUUUAUCAUGAGCUCUCUCACCUACUAGGGUAGUCUUCUGGGUUCCCUCGUUUGUUAUAGACUGAAGGCUUGUCAAGGUAAAAUCAUUGCAAUAGAGCAAAAUUUGCUUGGAUCAUGUCUAAAGUUUAUGAUAUCAUAAAUCACAUGCCAAAUUGCAAAUUGAUUGUAACAUUAAUAAGCCUCUUUAUUGUCUAUUGGAACUUGACACAAUUCUAAACCGAGAUGAAAGUACUCGAGAAUCAUUGCUUGAAUUAGAGCCUGAGCUUGGAGCUAGCUUUGUUCUUGUUGAUAAGGUAUCUCCAGUAUCUGACUCAGACAGCCAUUGCUGCUGAUAAGGAAUCAGUCCACUUGAUUUAUGUUUAUUAAGGAUAAUCCAGGUGAUGAAGAAUUAUGGUAGUAGGGAAAGUAUAGAAGGUAAUGUAGAAAGUUGGAAGGUAGCUAUUCAGUAUUUUAGCUGUUUUUGUUGCUUUUGCAUUGAAUCCAAAGUCAAAAGGUAUCUAUCAUGCUCUUGCUAGGCCAUCAUAUUCAGGAGCUGAAAUAGAAUCAAAAUCAUAUUGAUAGAGGAUUGAAGAUUUUAUUCCUCAAGAAGCUGAUUUGCAUACGGAUCCGGCAACUGAACUUGCAUUUAAUCAGGAGCCUGACUUGCAUGGUCAAGGUUGGAAAUUCUCGAGGUUCAUUAAAUUUGUGGGUCAGCAUUCCUUGUGUUACUAAGACGGGAUUAUUAGGUUAGUGUAGCCCAGAAAACUGCUCUGUGCAGUGUACACCCUUUAUGAGAGUGCAUCCUUUCUUCACUUCCUGUGAAGUUCUUGAUUUCUAAGCCAUUUUUACCUGGAAUGCUAUUCGUUUCGUUAUGUGGGACCAAACGAGAACAUGGAACACUACCCAGUGUGACCCGGGAAUGACUAGGCACGGAAAACAUUAUGUAUAAAAUGUAUAGUUAAUUUCAAAAGGAAAUGAAAUUGAAUUGGAGACCAAAAAACCUUUUUCACAGACGUGUUGAGCGAUUGUGGAUGUGAUUUUUUGGUGUCUGGAAUGGGCGCCUCGGGGUCGCAAAAUGGAGUUACGUUCCAUGCUACAGCUUCCUAUACUCUAAGCUACCGAUCAUUGGACUGCAUGCAACUAGAAUUCUACCAUACUGAUAUUCUGCCCAGUUGGCUACAUAUCGUGGUUUCUUCCCAGUUGGGUGGUGAUCGGUGCGAUAUCUUAUCCGUAAUGCUAAGUAAUUUAAAUACAGGGUCACUGUUAUAUAUGCCUGGGAAAAUUGUGACUAAAUAUUGUCUGUAUUUUGUCAUUAGUCAAUAAAUCAUUUAAAGGACUCUACUGUUGACCCAUAUCUAGGUACUAGGACUAAAACUCCCAUUCUGAAGUCAAACUAUCUGAAAUCAAAUGCCUUGAAUUCUACCCGAAUGAUAUGACCAAAUGACCAAUAUGGCAAUAUGGCUCUAUCCAACUUUAAUUGAAAGACUCGAAGUUAUUGUGUCAAUAUCUUGAAACAUUGAGCUAAUAAUUAAUAAAAGCUUUUAAGGAGGAUAUGAAUUAUGUUAUUCAUAUUGAGUUAACGACCGAUAUUUUACAUGUUAAAUGGGUGAAACAUUUUAAAGCUGUAGUUCCAAUGUUCCACACUUCCAUGCUUGGAUGAGCUGGGAGCCUGGGAUUACUACCAAACAUUUAGAUGAUAAUUUAUAUGCUGAAUUAGGAAUAAUGUUAAUAUUGAGGAGCUAUACAUGCGCAUCUACAAAGAACGUAAAUUUUUUAGUGUGGAUUGCUGCUCAAAAGGGAGUACGAGCUCAUAGUUAACUCUGGUCUUAAUGCUGAGCUAUCUCUUAUGUUUAGUUAGCUCAUUGUGACUGUGGACCGGUGGUUAUGAAAAUAGUUUCCAUGGGUGGUUCUUAGUUGGGUGCAUACCAUACAUUCUUCUUGUUGGAGGCGCCUUUCGCGUAAGUUUAAAUACUUUACAUGAUAUUUUUAAUGCACUUGAUGGGUCAUCAUGUACAAUUAGGAGCUGAAAAAGAAACAAUUCCAUACUGUUAUUACGGAGAGAUGCUUAUUCCUUCAUUUGGAAGCUGAUUGCAUACUAUUUUGCUUAAUUGUAUUUGCCAUUGGAAUUGGGUAUAUAACUUGGGUUUUAUAUAAAGCUUAUGAGAUCUUUGUCAACGUACCUAAUUGCUGAUGACUUUUGAUAUUGAGUAUCCCUUUAGUGCCCAGAAACUUGGCAAAAUCUUGAUGAAGGUACAAGCUACUUGAUCUGGAGUCUGAGCUUGGAGUUAGUUUUUUUUAUUACCGACUUUACGCUUAUCAGAAUUAGUUUACCUAUCAAGGAGUAGUAUAACACCUUACAUGUCAAGCUUGAGAUAUCUCAUGGCUCAUAAAUUUUGUUGGUUAGCAUGUCUUCUGCUUUGUUAUAUUAGGAACAUGUUCUAAGAUUGGGUUAACCCUGAAGACUGCUUUCCUCUUAUCAGUAGUUUGUAAAUACCAUUACUCACCAAGUGGCAUAUCAUUCAAAGGACUCUAGUGGACUAUGCAAAAUUGACCCAUAUCCGACUACCUAGACUAAACUCCGGUCUUAAAGUUAUCUUAUACCUAACAUCAAAUGCGUCGAAUAUCGACAUUGACCUGAAUAGUACGACUAAUAUGACCCGAUUCAACCUGACCCAAAUAACAUGUCAUCAACACUAAUCAAACUUGUUCUUAAAAAACCUGUUUUGAGUUGUUACUUCUACUUCCUCCGUCUUUUUUAAUAUGUUGCACAACAUUCAUAAAGCUCUGACUUCGAUUUGCAUACUGUAGACCAUUGGUGUAAAACUUAUCUACAUAUUGUGAUCAAUAUGAUUUGAGACUUCCAUUUAGGUGAUGAUUAGUCCUAUCUUGUUGGCGUGAACUUGAGCCUUCCAUUGAGGUGAUGUUUAGUCCUAUUCAAUCUUUCACGGAAUAUUUGGUGCUCUUUUGGUUUUGCUUGCUGCAUGUCACAUGGUGUUUUUGUCCUUUUUUCUAUAAAAGACAUGCAUAAAUUUCUGCUACUGCUAGUGGGAUAUUUUAUCUAUACAACCCUUCACUGUAUCUUUGUUUUUGUGCAGUCACUAGUCAUAGAAAAUAUCCAGAAAAUGGAAUCAUUUAUACGAAGAACAUACAAAAGUGUCACUAUUUUGCCUAAUGAAACCCACUUUUGACUUAUCAUAUUCCCUUUAAUUGCUACUCCCUCUGUCCCCAUGAAUUUGACACUUGGAUUAGUUAAUGAUUUGGAGUCGGAGAAUAAGAUUAAAAACAAGUGGAUGAGAAAAUAUGUAAAUGAAAUGGAAAGAAAGAAUGCGUUUGUGGAUAAAAUUAAAGAGAGAAUAUGCCUGUGAAUGAGAUCGGAUGGAAUGUGAGACCAUAGCCUAAAAUAGAAAUGGUUUAACAUUAAUGUCAUCAUCAUCAACCCAAUGUCCCGCCCAAGGCGGGGUUUGGGGAGGAUUGAAAAGAAGACAGACAAAUAUCCUCAUCACGAGGAGGUCGCAAUCGAAAAGAGCCCCUCAACUUGGGUAUUGCCUUGCAUAUGUAAAAACCAAAAUGAAAAGUAUGUCGCUUAUGGGAACGGAGGGACUAAUAAAUAAAAUCUACCCUUUUCAGUGCUAAUGGAGUAUGUGUUGGUUAGUCAUUUCCAUCAUGCAUAUCAGGAAAUUCUGAGCUGAUUCCAGCGCCAAGCAUUCAUCCUGAUCAGCUUAGUGGGGGAUACUCCUACACAUAAAAGGACAUAAAUCCAGGUACACUGAGCUUUUCUAGUGAGCUUCAUUUCUUCUUCCAUCCAAACACCCGAGAAAAAACCGAUCAAAAAACGGAGUUGGAAGAAAUAUGGCUUUCUCCCCGAAAUUACGCACAGGAACAGCAGAAAGCUGGGGAAUUAUGAUUCUUAUAUUGGUAUUAUGUGGGAUUUUAGGUUACAUAAUCUAUGAUGCAGUAAUGGUAACUGCAUCAGAAUUGUUGCAGCGUUUACUGAUGAUUUCUCCUCUUCUUAUAGUCAUUACAAUUCACUGGAUUUCCACAAAGCCUUCGUCGAGCUGCCUUAGCUUUCUCCUACCUGGAUCAAACCCGGGUGACAUUCAUCGCGCAGGCGGUUCACCUUGGGGUGUUGCAGUUGUGCUCAUCAUUCUUUGUGUUUUGAUCUCAUACCAGCCUUCCUUACAAAGCAUUGUAUCUUAAAACGGUUCACUAGGUACUAGUAGUUCAUUUACUAUUUGCUUAUUUAUUUAUUAGUCAUUUCUACAGGUGGUGAAAAUCAAACAUUUGUCACGAGGGUAAAAGAAAGUUUUCCAUCUCUAGGCUAAUUCAUGAUUCUUACUGAUCGCUUACAUUUAAGAAUGAAAAUAUAUAUUAGAUGUCAUUUAAAUUCCUAAAUAUAGAGAAUCUGGUUUUGUCUCAGUUGGAACAUGUACAACUUUCUUCAGUUGGAACAUGCACAACUUUCUUCAGGUUAGUCUUGAGUUCGAUGUUCAUCUAAUUUUUCUUUCCUCAGCUUACCCUGUAAUGUUGGUGGAAGAUAAUUAAUGGUAUUCGGAUAAAAUGAUAAUGUUGUCCUGGGUAAAUGGACGAAGAGAUUUUUGAUUUCUAUUCAUAUUUUUCUGAUAGGUUUGUAUUAGCACUUAGCAGGGUAUCUAUUUAUGUCAUUGUUCAUAAUAAAUUGUAAAAUGCCGAGUAAUGUAGUGUUGGUUUAUUGCUCCUACUCCUAGUAAUGCAUAUUUCUUCCGUAUCUCAUCAUUGUAUUUGAUACUUUCUCCUA
Amaranthus tricolor (Joseph's coat) is the source of this 5359-nucleotide long non-coding RNA. RefSeq lists it as uncharacterized. The record is from RefSeq and is a predicted model, not a curated record. The transcript has 5 exons. NCBI's taxonomy places the organism in Eukaryota, Viridiplantae, Streptophyta, Magnoliopsida, Caryophyllales, Amaranthaceae.